CCCCUCACUGACGAUGAAGUGCUCGGCUACAUGCUCGCUGGGUUGGGCUCCGAGUUCGAGCCACUCAUCGCGUCGAUCACGGCGCGAGAUGAUCCAGUAAGUCUCAGCAGCUUCUAUGCGUAUCUCCUUAGUGCUGAAC
This is a non-coding RNA of Triticum aestivum (bread wheat), 139 nucleotides long. Lineage: Eukaryota; Viridiplantae; Streptophyta; Magnoliopsida; Poales; Poaceae. The record is from Rfam.